GGGCAAAUAGUGUAGUUGGUUAUCGCGCCCGCUUCGCAUCAACACGUAAUCGCGCCUACGUAAGCAUGCGGGAGGUGCUGGGUUCAAUUCCCAGUUUGUCCA
Mycena latifolia is the source of this 102-nucleotide non-coding RNA. The record is from the annotation of a GenBank genome assembly. Lineage: Eukaryota; Fungi; Basidiomycota; Agaricomycetes; Agaricales; Mycenaceae.